CUUCUUCACAUUGUUUUGUGCAUCUUGGUUUUUCGUUUCUCCCUGGCCUGAUUUCAUUUGGAGAUUCAGCCUGGAACCUGCAGAGUCUGUGCCAUGGAUACCGAGGGGAGGUUUCACAGGACCGUGUCUAUUCUGCCCGAGUUACCAAAGAUUGGAGAGGAGGCGUCAGGCUUUGGCAGUGAUACCCGAGUCUGCAUAGCUAAGUCCUGCCUGCAACCUCGAGAUCUGACUGACUCCCCUCAUCUGCUGUUCCCUUCCUCCUGGCCCUUCGGUCUUCUCUUGCCAGGUUUGGGGGAUCUAGACCCCCUGGCUGAUUGGACGAGGUCCACCCAUAAUGCUGACGGUCACCGCCUUUAAGUAAAGUCAACUCAUCGUAGAUGCUAAUCCCACAUACGAAAUACUACCACAGUAACAACUAGGCCAGUGUG
Choloepus didactylus (southern two-toed sloth) is the source of this 428-nucleotide long non-coding RNA. RefSeq lists it as uncharacterized. The transcript has 4 exons. Lineage: Eukaryota; Metazoa; Chordata; Mammalia; Pilosa; Megalonychidae. The record is from RefSeq and is a predicted model, not a curated record.